RNAcentral lists this unclassified non-coding RNA (302 nucleotides) under Hevea brasiliensis (rubber tree). The record is from RNAcentral. Lineage: Eukaryota; Viridiplantae; Streptophyta; Magnoliopsida; Malpighiales; Euphorbiaceae.
GUCGUUCAUACAGUACUGCAAUAAACAGUGAUCUGUCAUGUACACUACCUUGGAAUCAAUCUGACGAGUGGAUGAAAAUGUUGGAAGAGAGAUGAUUGAAUUAUCUUCAUAGCAACCUAUACUCUCUUCUCUGACCCUGUCUGCAAUUGAGAUGGCUGCGAUCUUGCGGGGUUGAAUACAUAUGAUUGAUUCAUUGGCAGCGAUUCCUGAAUCAGCAAGAAAUUGGACCAACUGUGUACUUUUUCCCGAACCAGUCUCCCCGACUAAUACAAUUACCUGCUUGCCACAAAUUUUCCUCAGAA